RNAcentral lists this ribosomal RNA (480 nucleotides) under uncultured bacterium. RNAcentral describes it as "SSU rRNA". It matches the Rfam family "Bacterial small subunit ribosomal RNA", at positions 26 to 523 of the family's 1533-position model. The record is from RNAcentral.
AGGACGAACGCUGGCGGCGCGCUUAACACAUGCAAGUCGAACGUGAAGCUGGAGCUUGCUCCGGUGGAAAGUGGCGAACGGGUGCGUAACACGUGAGCAACCUGCCCCGAAGACUGGGAUAACACCGGGAAACCGGUGCUAAUACCGGAUACCUUCUUCCGAUCGCAUGGUUGGAUGAAGAAAUGGAUUCCGCUUCGGGAUGGGCUCGCGGCCUAUCAGCUUGUUGGUGAGGUAACGGCCCACCAAGGCGACGACGGGUAGCUGGUCUGAGAGGACGACCAGCCACACUGGGACUGAGACACGGCCCAGACUCCUACGGGAGGCAGCAGUGGGGAAUCUUGCUCAAUGGGCGAAAGCCUGAAGCAGCGACGCCGCGUGAGGGAUGAAGGCCCGUCGGGUUGUAAACCGCUUUCAGCAGGGACGAAUUGACGGUACCUGCAGAAGAAGGCCCGGCCAACUACGUGCCAGCAGCCGCGGUAA